This 536-nucleotide ribosomal RNA is filed under the name Helenozyma melibiosica. Its description in RNAcentral is "[Candida] melibiosica partial large subunit ribosomal RNA". It matches the Rfam family "Eukaryotic large subunit ribosomal RNA", at positions 68 to 664 of the family's 3401-position model. Lineage: Eukaryota; Fungi; Ascomycota; Pichiomycetes; Serinales; Metschnikowiaceae. The record is from RNAcentral.
ACGGGCAUUGCCCAGUAACGGCGAGUGAAGCGGCAAAAGCUCAAUUUUGAAAUCCCCCCGGGGAGUUGUAAUUUGAAGACUAGGGGAUUUGGCCCAAACCUGCGCAAGUCCAUUGGAACAUGGCGCCCAAGAGGGUGAGAGCCCCGUCGCGCAGGCCGCAGCCUUGACAUCCCCCCGUCAAAGAGUCGAGUUGUUUGGGAAUGCAGCUCAAAGUGGGUGGUAAAUUCCAUCUAAAGCUAAAUAUUGGCGAGAGACCGAUAGCGAACAAGUACAGUGAUGGAAAGAUGAAAAGCACUUUGAAAAGAGAGUGAAACAGUACGUGAAAUUGUUGAAAGGGAAGGGCUUGCAAGCAGACACGAGUUCGCUCGGGCCAGCAUCAAUUUCGCGAGGUGGACAACACGCCAGGAAUGUGGCAGGCUCCGGCCUGUGUUAUAGCCUGCGCGCCAUACACCUCCGCGAGAUUGAGGCCUGCUCCAAAAGGAUGCUGGCGUAAUGGUUGCAAGUCGCCCGUCUUGAAACMACRAGACMCAAAAAAA